AGAGUUUGAUCAUGGCUCAGAGCGAACGCUGGCGGCAGGCCUAACACAUGCAAGUCGAGCGGCCGUAGCAAUACGGCAGCGGCAGACGGGAGAGUAACACGUGGGAACGCGCCCUUCGGUUCGGGAUAACUCAGGGAAACUUGAGCUAAUACCGGAUACGCCCUUACGGGGAAAGAUUUAUUGCCGAAGGAACGGCCCGCGUCCGAUUAGCUUGUUGGUGAGGUAACGGCUCACCAAGGCGACGAUCGGUAGCUGGUCUGAGAGGAUGACCAGCCUCACUGGGACUGAGACACGGCCCAGACUCCUACGGGAGGCAGCAGUGGGGAAUAUUGGACAAUGGGCGCAAGCCUGAUCCAGCCAUGCCGCGUGGGUGAUGAAGGCCCUAGGGUUGUAAAGCCCUUUCAGCGGGGAAGAUAAUGACGGUACCCGCAGAAGAAGCCCCGGCUAACUUCGUGCCAGCAGCCGCGGUAAUACGAAGGGGGCUAGCGUUGCUCGGAAUUACUGGGCGUAAAGCGCACGUAGGCGGAUUGUUAAGUCGGGGGUGAAAUCCUGGAGCUCAACUCCAGAACUGCCUUCGAUACUGGCGAUCUAGAGUCCGGGAGAGGUGAGUGGAACUGCGAGUGUAGAGGUGAAAUUCGUAGAUAUUCGCAAGAACACCAGUGGCGAAGGCGGCUCACUGGCCCGGUACUGACGCUGAGGUGCGAAAGCGUGGGGAGCAAACAGGAUUAGAUACCCUAGUAGUCC
Molecule: ribosomal RNA, 744 nt
Filed under: uncultured bacterium
Lineage: Bacteria
Description: bacterial SSU rRNA
Rfam family: Bacterial small subunit ribosomal RNA
Source: RNAcentral